CGCUGGCGGCGUGCUUAACACAUGCAAGUCGAACGGGAUCCGGCCAAGCUUGCUUGGCCGGUGAGAGUGGCGAACGGGUGAGUAAUGCGUGACCGACCUGCCCCGUGCUUGGGAAUAGCUCCUGGAAACGGGUGGUAAUGCCCAAUGCUCCGCCCGGCCUCAUGGCCGGUCGGGAAAGCUUUGGCGGCACGGGAUGGGGUCGCGUCCUAUCAGCUUGUUGGUAAGGUAACGGCUUACCAAGGCUUCGACGGGUAGCCGGCCUGAGAGGGCGACCGGCCACAUUGGGACUGAGAUACGGCCCAGACUCCUACGGGAGGCAGCAGUGGGGAAUAUUGCACAAUGGGCGCAAGCCUGAUGCAGCGACGCCGCGUGCGGGAUGGAGGCCUUCGGGUUGUAAACCGCUUUUGUUCACGAGCAAGGCAUUCUUUUUGGGUGUUGAGUGUAGUGUUCGAAUAAGCACCGGCUAACUACGUGCCAGCAGCCGCGG
Molecule: ribosomal RNA, 487 nt
Filed under: Bifidobacterium magnum
Lineage: Bacteria; Bacillati; Actinomycetota; Actinomycetes; Bifidobacteriales; Bifidobacteriaceae
Description: bacterial SSU rRNA
Rfam family: Bacterial small subunit ribosomal RNA
Source: RNAcentral